CAGCCCCUCGAGUGGUGGGGAUGAUCAUUUGGCCUAAAGCGUCCGUAGCCGGCCGUGUAAGUCUCCCGUUAAAUCCAGCGUCUCAAGCGUUGGACUGCGGGAGAUACUGCUCGGCUAGAGAGUGGGAGAGGUGUGCGGUAUUCUGGGGGUAGGGGCGAAAUCCUUUGAUCCCCGGAGGACCACCAGUGGCGAAGGCUGCACACUAGAACACGUCUGACGGUCAGGGACGAAAGCUGGGGUAGCGAACCGGAUUAGAGACCCGAGUAGUCC
This 270-nucleotide ribosomal RNA is filed under the name uncultured archaeon. RNAcentral describes it as "partial 16S ribosomal RNA". It matches the Rfam family "Archaeal small subunit ribosomal RNA", at positions 477 to 747 of the family's 1478-position model. The record is from RNAcentral.